This 1135-nucleotide ribosomal RNA is filed under the name Paludicola turfosa. RNAcentral's name for it is "partial 28S ribosomal RNA". It matches the Rfam family "Eukaryotic large subunit ribosomal RNA", at positions 36 to 1265 of the family's 3401-position model. Lineage: Eukaryota; Rhodophyta; Florideophyceae; Batrachospermales; Batrachospermaceae. The record is from RNAcentral.
AAGCAUAUAACUAAGCGGAGGAAAAGAAACUAACAAGGAUUCCCUCAGUAGCGGCGAGCGAAGCGGGAAGAGCCCGGGAUGAAAAUCUCUUCGGAGAGUUGUAGUCUGAGCUCCCUUGGGCGGUCAGUGUGGGUAAAUCGUCUGGGAUGACGUGCCAUGGAGGGUGAGAGCCCCGUCCAGCCCACACAGGACCCGCCCGCACGAGGGCGCUUCAACCGAGUCGGGUAGCUUGGGAAUGCUGCUCUAAUUGGUGGUAAAUCUCAUCAAAGGCUAAAUAUGGGUGGGAGACCGAUAGCGAACAAGUACCGUGAGGGAAAGAUGGAAAGAACUUUGAAAAGAGAGUGAAAAGCGCUUGAAACCGUCACGGGGGAAGCGGAUUGCGUGAGUGAUGGGGCGCACUGUUCAGCUCCGCAAGGAGUGCAUUCUGUGCGCGCCGGGCGUGUGUGGCUGUCGUGUGUGCGAAUUUGGUACACGCGGUGGUGAGGGCUCCCCCGCAUGGGGUUUUGAGGACACACGCGAAAUGACGCAAUACGACCCGUCUUGAAACACGGACCAAGGAGUCUAGCACGGCUGCGAGUCGAAGGGUGUGAAAACCCAAACGUGGGCGCAGUGAAAGCGAAAAAAAGCAAAUUGGGGAGGCGUUGCGGUUUUACCAAAAUGUCCUACCUCGAGCACCUGUGCUGGGACCCGAAAGAUGGUGAACUAUGCCGGAGUAGGGCAAAGCCAGAGGAAACUCUGGUGGAGGCUCGUAGCGAUGCUGACGUGCAAAUCGCUCGUCGAACUUGGGUAUAGGGGCGAAAGACUAAUCGAACCAUCUAGUAGCUGGUUCCCUCCGAAGUUUCUCUCAGGAUAGCGGGCCGACGACGUGUUGUUUUGUGCGGUAAAGCGAAUGAUUAGUGCAUUUGGGGGCCGAAGGUCUUCAGGCGAUUCUCAAACUUUAAAUGCGCAAGGGGGCGGCUGCUUGAUUUGAGCCUGCUCUUUUAAAAACGUCGGCCCCGUGGGCCACUUUUGGUAAGCAGAACUGGCGAUAAGGGAUGAACCUUAAGCGCGGUUAAGGCGCCGCAUUGCCCGCUUAUAGACCCCACAAAAGGUGUUGAUUCAUCCAGACAGCAGGACGGUGGCCAUGGAAGUCGGA